GACGAACGCUGGCGGCGUGCUUAACACAUGCCAGUCGAACGAAGAGCGAUGGAAGCUUGCUUCUAUCAAUCUUAGUGGCGAACGGGUGAGUAACGCGUAAUCAACCUGCCCUUCAGAGGGGGACAACAGUUGGAAACGACUGCUAAUACCGCAUACGAUCCAAUCUCGGCAUCGAGGAUGGAUGAAAGGUGGCCUCUAUUUAUAAGCUAUCACUGAAGGAGGGGAUUGCGUCUGAUUAGCUAGUUGGAGGGGUAACGGCCCACCAAGGCGAUGAUCAGUAGCCGGUCUGAGAGGAUGAACGGCCACAUUGGGACUGAGACACGGCCCAGACUCCUACGGGAGGCAGCAGUGGGGAAUCUUCCGCAAUGGACGAAAGUCUGACGGAGCAACGCCGCGUGAGUGAUGACGGCCUUCGGGUUGUAAAGCUCUGUUAAUCGGGACGAAAGGUCCUCUUGCGAAUAGUUAGAGGAAUUGACGGUACCGGAAUAGAAAGCCACGGCUAACUACGUG
Molecule: ribosomal RNA, 510 nt
Filed under: uncultured bacterium
Lineage: Bacteria
Description: partial 16S ribosomal RNA
Rfam family: Bacterial small subunit ribosomal RNA
Source: RNAcentral